RNAcentral lists this ribosomal RNA (253 nucleotides) under uncultured bacterium. RNAcentral describes it as "partial 16S ribosomal RNA". It matches the Rfam family "Bacterial small subunit ribosomal RNA", at positions 524 to 776 of the family's 1533-position model. The record is from RNAcentral.
UACGUAGGCAGCGAGCGUUGUUCGGAGUUACUGGGCGUAAAGGGUGUGUAGGCGGUUGUUUAAGUUUGGUGUGAAAUCUCCCGGCUCAACUGGGAGCGUGCGCCGAAUACUGAAUGACUAGAGUGCGGGAGAGGAAAGUGGAAUUCCUGGUGUAGCGGUGAAAUGCGUAGAUAUCAGGAGGAACACCGGUGGUGUAGACGGCUUUCUGGACCGUAACUGACGCUGAGACACGAAAGCGUGGGUAGCAAACAGG